Molecule: ribosomal RNA, 647 nt
Filed under: uncultured bacterium
Lineage: Bacteria
Description: bacterial SSU rRNA
Rfam family: Bacterial small subunit ribosomal RNA
Source: RNAcentral
GGACAUGGGGGCACCUGUAUCCUAUCAAUGCCGCGUGAGUGAAGAAGGCCUUCGGGUUGUAAAGCUCUUUUGUCAGGGAAGAAACAGCAGCUCUAACACAGUCUGCGAAUGACGGUACCUGAAGAAUAAGCACCGGCUAACUACGUGCCAGCAGCCGCGGUAAUACGUAGGGUGCGAGCGUUAAUCGGAAUUACUGGGCGUAAAGCGUGCGCAGGCGGUUAUACAAGACAGGCGUGAAAUCCCCGGGCUUAACCUGGGAAUGGCGUCUGUGACUGUAUAGCUAGAGUGUGUCAGAGGGGGGUGGAAUUCCACGUGUAGCAGUGAAAUGCGUAGAUAUGUGGAGGAACACCAAUGGCGAAGGCAGCCCCCUGGGAUAACACUGACGCUCAUGCACGAAAGCGUGGGGAGCAAACAGGAUUAGAUACCCUGGUAGUCCACGCCCUAAACGAUGCUGACUAGUUGUUGGGAAUCUACAUUCUCAGUAACGUAGCUAACGCGUGAAGUCAGCCGCCUGGGGAGUACGGUCGCAAGAUUAAAACUCAAAGGAAUUGACGGGGACCCGCACAAGCGGUGGAUGAUGUGGAUUAAUUCGAUGCAACGCGAAAAACCUUUACUACCCUUGACAUGUCACUAACGAAGUAGAGAUA